Long non-coding RNA from Cygnus olor (mute swan), 1565 nucleotides. RefSeq lists it as uncharacterized. The record is from RefSeq and is a predicted model, not a curated record. The transcript has 3 exons. NCBI's taxonomy places the organism in Eukaryota, Metazoa, Chordata, Aves, Anseriformes, Anatidae.
CCUGAGACCCAGCGGAGUGACAGUCAGCAAACUUCCCCCUGUGGCAGCAAACACCAGCUCACGUUGUCCAAAGCUCUGACACAUCCUCUGAAAUGCAUCCCUCUUUGCUGGAUUAGUCAGAUUGUAGGAUUUAAAGGGAAAAAACUCAUGCACACAAUUACUCUGGAUCUGAAAACGGUAGUUUUGGAGCAGAGCAGAGCUGGAGGGCCAGAGCCAAAGCCAGCGUUUGGAGAUGCUCUACGUGAUAAAAACAAGCUAUUAAGUAAUUGCUGGGAGUGGAGGAUCUGAAGGGAAAUAUUGCAUUCGAGAGGAAGCAGAUACUUAGUAAAGCUGUUAAACCCUUAUUUCUGGGGCUCGGAUCCUCAACCAAAGCAGAAGUUGCUGUUGCAGAGCUGUUGCACGGGGCGAGCUGGCCCUGAGCAUGGCAUGGCCAUGGGGCUGGGGGCAUACAGCCCCUCUCCUAGGGAAAGCUGGACAACGAGAUGGCCCUCAGUGGCUUUCAGAUCUCCUCCAGAGAGCUCGAGCAGCCCGGGCAGAGCCCGGCAUCACCAUCACAGCUCCCUGAGAUGCUCUGCACUGCAGCCAUGUGCUCCUCAUACUGCUCAGGUCGCAGCCAGCAUUCACUGGUAAUGAUUCCGAGGCUGAAGAGAGACCCAGGAGGAACUUCUAAACCUGGCUGCAGAUUGCACGCCUAUUAGCUGUAAUGGACCUGCAAUGCACUUUUCCAAUCACAUCAAUGUGCGCAGAGCCAGUCUGACAUUGUGCUGGGCUUGGCGAGACGCAAGCGCCAUCACCGACACCUUCCUGGAGCAUCCCCUCGCCUUUCUUCUUCCGUCUCACCUGGCACGAACUCCUGGCACAGCAUGCAUUAUUACAGCCAUCGCUUUUGAUUAUAUCAUCCUCCGAGGUGAGUGCAGUGCUUGUGAAAGUCACCGGAGAAGUCGGCGCUGCCAGAGGAGCUCCCAGGGGCACCAGGAGACCUUCCUUGCCCGCUCCAGAGCUGCUCUGAGCACCCGUGCCUGCUGCAGGGGGAGGCAGAGCGCCCAGCAGACCUGUUCUCAUCCUCAUCUCCCCAUUUUCUGCCUGCACAGUACCCACGGAAGGGCCCUCCAGACAGGGAGUCCUCUGGUGCAGCCACCACUGACCAUCGGAGCUUUCCUGACACCAAAUUCUCCCAUUUCCACUUUCAAGCCCUUUUCGAACAUCAACACAUUCCCUGAACUUGUGCUCCAUUUGCUUCCUCAAGCUUAUGAAUUGUCAUUGUUGAGGGGAAAGUGGCUGAAAAGUUCAUCAGCCUUUCCCCUUCACCUGGCAUUAACCCAUGGGUGCAUCCAGCUUUACACAGCCGCUGGUGGUCCCUGCCUGCCCCAGGGCGGAUCCAGCUGUGUCUUCUGCCAUAUUCCACAUCCCACAUCCCACCUCUCACCUCUUACGUCUCAUAUCUCAUAUCUCUUAUCUUAUAUCUCAUGUCUCAGACUUUGUGUUUCAUAUUUCGUAGUCACUUGUUAGAGGCUGAAUGAAAGAAAAUGGCUCAGCAUCGGUGAAACAGGCAAGAAGAAAGAAAA